GAUGAAGAACGCAGCGAAAUGCGAUAAGUAAUGCGAAUUGCAGAAUUCCAGUGAGUCAUCGAAUCUUUGAACGCAUAUUGCGCCCUUUGGUAUUCCGAAGGGCAUGCCUGUUCGAGCGUCAUUAUCACCCCUCAAGCCCCUCGGGUUUGGUUUUGGAGGGUCUGGUCCGUCAAACGACCCCUCUUAAAGACAAUGACGGCGGCCUCGUGGGACCCCCGGUACACUGAGCUUCUUCAUUAAGCACGUAUCGGUUGGGUCCCCGGGUCCCGGUCCUCUCCCUUUAUCGAGAAACUUUCAAGGUUGACCUCGGAUCAGGUAGGAAUACCCGCUGAACUUAAGCAUAUCCAAUAAGCGGAGGA
This 359-nucleotide unclassified non-coding RNA is filed under the name soil metagenome. RNAcentral describes it as "partial contains 5.8S ribosomal RNA, internal transcribed spacer 2, and large subunit ribosomal RNA". The stretch from base 1 to 121 matches the Rfam family "5.8S ribosomal RNA", at positions 35 to 154 of the family's 154-position model. The record is from RNAcentral.